GUGAGUAAUGGCUUCCUAGGGGCGUGGGAGAGUGGAUGUAUGCAGUGGGAGGUUGGGCUAGGCAGUUGUGGGCAAGAAAGGUGCCCUCUAGCACCCUGGACACAAGAGCAGGCUGCAAACAAUUGGUAGAAAUGGUAGCAGGAGGAGAAGUCCCUGGAGGAACAGCACACGGCCUGGCAGAGAUACCAAAGGGAAUGGGAUUUACUGAAGAAAUUGCCGUCAGUUUGAAUGAACCACACAGUAUGAGAGCUGGAUGUGCAGUCUUGAAGGAAUCCUACGCUUCAUGAAUGAGGAUUUGACAUCUGGCAGAGGUCUUUAUGAACACAUUUAUGAUCAUCCUUCAAAGCAACCACAUGAAAUGGGCCAGGGGCUUGUUCUCUUUUAGCAGACAGACGGGUUGAGUCACCACAAGAUGCUGUUAUGGUUUAAAUGUGUGGAGCUAUAUAUAUACAUACACACAUACACAUGUAUAUAUCAAUCAAGCUAUACUUAUCCCCAAUAACAGAGAGGAAAAAUAUAUUAUUAGAAUAAGAGCCGCAUAUUUUGGAAAACUUACCAUGUGCCAGAGACUGUUCUAAUUAUUUUAUAAACAUGUCUCUUGUGGUUUUCAAGAUAACUAUAGAAGGUAACUAUUAUUACUUUUUAACAAAUGAAAGCAAACCUCAGGUUAAGUGACUGGCCCAAGGUCACACAGCAAGCAGUGACAGAGCUAAGUUGCGCUGGCUCUAAAGACCAUGUGUUAUCAACAGCGUCCUCCUGCCUUCUUAUGAAAUGGAAUCCAUAUCAAACUGCUAAGCUUUGUUUUUAGCAAAUAACAUGACUGUCUGGGCUGUGGGCUUAAGGAACAGUGAGUUUGGGGGCAAAGGUCACCCUCUAAUAGUGCUUCAUAAUAUUUCUCCCAGAGAAAGACUCUGGAGCCAGGCAGAUCUGGAUCCAGAUUCCAGUUCUGCCACUUCCUAGCUGUGUCCUCUCACUGAGCUCUCAGAGGCCUCCUUGGCCCGCAUGCUCAGUGGAGUGUCUGGUUGGCCCCGCAGCCCUUGUGUCCAGAUCUGCUGGGCGACACAGUGCCUGGCUGUGCCCUGCAGAGGCUUUCCUGUCCCUGGCUCCCAUGCUUCCCCUGAGGAGAGCAGGCGAUGGGUGUCAGCUUAUGUGAGCCCUUUGGUUGCAUGGAUCGGGUGAAAAACAGACAGAGCUGAAGAAUUUGAACUGAGAUGUCAAUUGUGGAGCAGGAUUACUCAUAGCAGCCACCGCCCACUAGGCCAGAACACCUUCGUUUAAACAAACCAACAUCCCAGGGGACAGUGCCUGUUGAGCAAGCUGCUGAGAGCCCUUCACUAGUGCUGAGUCCUCAGGCCUGCAGGGGACACUCCACAUCUGACCCUGCAGGAGAGCGGUGUCCAGGAGCAGGCACCUCAGAUCCAUCCAAGUCACACAGGGAGGCCAGAAGGGCAGCGGGGACACUGAACGCUCUACACGUCCUGAGGUCCCUGACCUCAUAGGCUGGAGGGGAGCAUUUGCUUUGUCUUGUGGAAAGUCCCCAAGUGGAUGGGCUAACAAUCGAUUCCAGUUGCACCCACGCUGCUAACUCUGGCCAUGUUUCCUAUACUUCCGUUCCUGUGAUCCAUCUCUUGCCCCUUCCAGAUCAGACAGUGACCUCCCGGGCCUCCUGGGGAUGCAGUUGUCCUCCCUGCACUCAGAUCUGGAGCUGCUGCUUCCUAGCGGAGGAGUCAGCCUACCGAGCCAGGCCGUUGUCAAGCCCUGAGCCCUCCCCACUUCCGCCUCUGCCCGCUUUCCUGUCCCAGCUGUGAGCCUCUCCGGGGACUCAUUUAAACUGAAGACAAUUGCCUCAGAUAAAGAACAACUGGCCUCCUCCCUAUGUGGCUAAAAUUAUCAAAAACCGAAGAGGGCGUUGCUGACCUCAGCCUUCCCCAGCCUUUCUCCUGCCUUGGUCCACUUGAAUAUCCCUCUGGGAGCCUGUGACAGCUGCCUACGUGGGACCCCACACAGAAACGGGGCUGAAGAAGGCAGUCCCAGCCUCGCAAGGCAUUCAGUUCCUGCAGUGUCUGCAGCCAAAUCCCAAGAUAGAGCCAGUCUGCUUGGUUCCCUGGCCCCAGGUUUCUCAGAGCUCCUCCGGCAGCCCAGGAGGCUGAGCUGCACUGCCUGCAUUUCCUGGCUUCACAUCACGUACACAUAGAGCUUGGGGCCCGGGCAACCAUGGCAUGGAAGCCCAGACCACCUAAAUUCUUCCUUAGGACCACCAGUGCCAUUGCCUCAGCCAUAACCCCCUGAGACUCCUCGCGGACCAGCAUGGCGACUGGUCCCACAACCAUCUCCAUGCCUGCUUCCUCUUCCCCAUUCAAGCUUCUCAACAUCUGUCAUUCUUGGUGUUAGCUAUAUCCCAGCUCCUGUAUUAUUCCAUUGCAUCCAGAAUGCUUUGAGGAAGGAAUGUCAUAGACCCCCUUUUUUAACCCCCUCUUCCCAGAGAGAUGUGCUCAGGAAUAGGUGCCCAACAGGAAGUAUUUGAUUGAGAGCUUAUUUGUCCCUCCAGGAGAUAUUCAAGGAGAGCCCCCAUCCAGACCCCAAGCGAGAAGAGCUACCGUGUCUCACAGGGCCCACAGCCCAUCACCCACAUCAUCCCACGGAGGGCGGGGAUUAUGCCCAGUGUGCAGAAGGGUUGACAAAGGCCAGGUAGGGGAAGUGGCUGGCUCUGCUUACAUGGACCCAAGACUCACUCCAGAACCCCUGACCUUCCGCUGAAGGAUCUUUGCACCAACUCUCCUGGCCCCAGUGGGUCUGGCUCACCAGAAGUUAGGCCUGGAAGGGAGGAGGCUGGGUGGGGGGACAUAGAAGGCAAAAGCAGCAGUGUCCUCACAUGGAACUGUUCCUCCAGGUCCUUUCCCUGGGACCCCUCCCUGGAGAGCUCUCCCUGCUCUCUCUGGCUUCCUUUCCCUUCUGUCAACCCUAAUAGCAUAGGUUUUGGUGUCAGGCAGUCCUGCGUUGGAAUCUCAGAUUCCCAGGGACAGUCAUGAUUUAUACGUGUUGUCCCGGUAUACUAAUACAUCAAGGCUCCUUGUCACCCUCAAACAUGCGCAUUAGGACCAUGCAUCAUGUGUCCCGCUUACAAAGACAGAAGGCAAGGUCUGUGGACAGCUGGAGGAUGACCUAGUUAGGGAGCCUCUAGGAACCCAUCUAGUUCUGCGAUGGAGGGGAACAGAGAAUGGGGUGUUUCCCUGAUGACCCUGCUGUGGAGGAGCUGGCUGCUUCUGCAGGGAGAUGCUGCAGCCCCAGAAGGAAGCCCUGGCCAUGUGUCUCAAGUUGCUUUGCAAAACAAGCACCAGGAAAGAAAAACAGCAUCUAUAUUUCCCUGAGGUGGGCCAGCAUCCAGAGGCUGAAGGCACCUGGGGAUAGGGACACUACAUCACACACUUCAGGGGGUGCCAGUCAUGUCACGGUCUGUGUGAACGGUGCCUCCUGGGAAUGUACAGCUCCCAGCCUGCUCACUGCAAAGCAGGAAUUGGUGAGCUGUGACUAGAUGAUGUCAGAGAGCAAGAAUAAGUAAGGACCAGGAAAGCUACAAAAUAUAGAAGACUACAUCUUUUUUAAAUUAAUUAAUUAGUUAAUUUAUUUAUUUAUUUAUUAUGUUUUGAGACAGAGCCUUGCUCUGUUGCUCAGGCUGGAGUGCAGUGGUAUGAUCUCUGCUCACUGCAACCUCCAUCUACCAGGUUCAAGCAACUCUCCUGCCUCAGCCUCCUGAGUAGCUGGGAUUACAGGCGCUCAUCACCAUGCCCAGCUAAUUUUUGUAUUUUUAGUAGAGACAGGGUUUCACCAUGUUUGCCAGGCUGGUCUCAAACUCCUGACCUUGUGAUCCAUCUGCCUCAGCCUCCCAAAGUGCUGGGAUUACAGGCAUGAGCCACCAUGCCCAGCCGAAAGCCUACAUCUUUAAGGAGAGGAAUCAUUCUGUCUGGGGAGGAACUCCUUUAAAUCAGUUCAACUCAACUCAUAUGAACAAAUAUUGAUCAUGCAAUUACUGUGCGCUCUGCUGGGCAAGGCCAUUAUGGUGGGGGUGGCGGUGGGGUGAUCAGGCAUCCUGAUCAGGCAGGGGUGAUCAGGCAGGCGGUGGGGUGAUCAGGCAUUGAGAAGCUCAUAGGACAGGAGGGGAGUGCGCAGGGUCUGUCCCUUCCUCUCCCCAGGCAGA
This 4195-nucleotide long non-coding RNA is filed under the name Homo sapiens (human). RNAcentral's name for it is "HSALNT0028443". Lineage: Eukaryota; Metazoa; Chordata; Mammalia; Primates; Hominidae. The record is from RNAcentral.